GUAACGCGUGGGUAACCUGCCUCAUACAGGGGGAUAACAGUUAGAAAUGACUGCUAACACCGCAUAAUAGUACGCGAAACCGCAUGAUUUUUGCUAUCAAAAUAGUUUAUAGGUAUGAGAUGGGCCCGCGUCUGAUUAGCUAGUUGUGGGGUAAAGGCCUACCAAGGCGACGAUCAGUAGCCGGCUUGAGAGAGUGACCGGCCACAUUGGGACUGAGACACGGCCCAAACUCCUACGGGAGGCAGCAGUGGGGAAUAUUGGACAAUGGGGGAAACCCUGAUCCAGCCGACGCCGCGUGAGUGAAGAAGUAUUUCGGUAUGUAAAGCUCUAUCAGCAGGGAAGAUAAUGACAGUACCUGACUAAGAAGCCCCGGCUAACUACGUGCCAGCCGCCGC
This 395-nucleotide ribosomal RNA is filed under the name uncultured bacterium. RNAcentral describes it as "bacterial SSU rRNA". It matches the Rfam family "Bacterial small subunit ribosomal RNA", at positions 110 to 518 of the family's 1533-position model. The record is from RNAcentral.